Molecule: ribosomal RNA, 380 nt
Filed under: uncultured eukaryote
Lineage: Eukaryota
Description: partial 18S ribosomal RNA
Rfam family: Eukaryotic small subunit ribosomal RNA
Source: RNAcentral
CAAUAGCGUAUAUUAAAGUUGUUGCAGUUAGAACGCUCGUAGUCGGAUUUCGGGGCGGGCCGACCGGUCUGCCGAUGGGUAUGCACUGGUCGGCGCGUCCUUCCUUCCGGAGACCGUCCCUACUCUUAACUGAGCGGGGGCGGGAGACGGGACUUUUACUUUGAAAAAAUCAGAGUGUUUCAAGCAGGCAGCUCGCUCUUGCAUGGAUUAGCAUGGGAUAAUGAAAUAGGACUUUGGUGCUAUUUUGUUGGUUUCGAACACCGAAGUAAUGAUUAACAGGGACAGUCAGGGGCACUCGUAUUCCGCCGAGAGAGGUGAAAUUCUCAGACCAGCGGAAGACGAACUACUGCGAAAGCAUUUGCCAGGGAUGUUUUCACUGA